UACGAAGGGGGCUAGCGUUGCUCGGAAUUACUGGGCGUAAAGCGCACGUAGGCGGCUUUCUAAGUCGGGGGUGAAAUCCUGGAGCUCAACUCCAGAACUGCCUUCGAUACUGGAAAGCUCGAGUCCGGGAGAGGUGAGUGGAACUGCGAGUGUAGAGGUGAAAUUCGUAGAUAUUCGCAAGAACACCAGUGGCGAAGGCGGCUCACUGGCCCGGUACUGACGCUGAAGUGCGAAAGCGUGGGGAGCAAACAGG
RNAcentral lists this ribosomal RNA (253 nucleotides) under uncultured bacterium. Its description in RNAcentral is "partial 16S ribosomal RNA". It matches the Rfam family "Bacterial small subunit ribosomal RNA", at positions 524 to 776 of the family's 1533-position model. The record is from RNAcentral.